GAUGAACGCUGGCGGCGUGCCUAAUACAUGCAAGUCGAGCGAACGGACGAGAAGCUUGCUUCUCUGAUGUUAGCGGCGGACGGGUGAGUAACACGUGGAUAACCUACCUAUAAGACUGGGAUAACUUCGGGAAACCGGAGCUAAUACCGGAUAAUAUUUUGAACCGCAUGGUUCAAAAGUGAAAGACGGUCUUGCUGUCACUUAUAGAUGGAUCCGCGCUGCAUUAGCUAGUUGGUAAGGUAACGGCUUACCAAGGCAACGAUGCAUAGCCGACCUGAGAGGGUGAUCGGCUACACUGGAACUGAGACACGGUCCAGACUCCUACGGGAGGCAGCAGUAGGGAAUCUUCCGCAAUGGGCGAAAGCCUGUCGGAGCAACGCCGCGUGAGUGAUGAAGGUCUUCGGAUCGUAAAACUCUGUUAUUAGGGAAGAACAUAUGUGUAAGUAACUGUGCACAUCUUGACGGUACCUAAUCAGAAAGCCACGGCUAACUACGUG
This 497-nucleotide ribosomal RNA is filed under the name uncultured bacterium. Its description in RNAcentral is "partial 16S ribosomal RNA". It matches the Rfam family "Bacterial small subunit ribosomal RNA", at positions 28 to 507 of the family's 1533-position model. The record is from RNAcentral.